Molecule: ribosomal RNA, 206 nt
Filed under: uncultured bacterium
Lineage: Bacteria
Description: partial 16S ribosomal RNA
Rfam family: Bacterial small subunit ribosomal RNA
Source: RNAcentral
UCUGCAGGUUGAUAUUUAAGUCUUUUGUUAAACCUCCGGGCUCAACCCGGAAUCUGCAAAGGAAACUAUCUAUCUUGAGUAUGGUAGGGGUAAAGGAAUUUCCAGUGGAGCGGCGAAAUGCGUAGAUAUUGGAAAGAACACCAACAGCGAAGGCACUUUACUGGGCCAGUACUGACACUCAGAGACGAAAGCUAGGGGAGCAAACA